GGUUAAGUGACUAAGCGUACACGGUGGAUGCCUAGGCAGUCAGAGGCGAUGAAGGGCGUGCUAAUCUGCGAAAAGCGUCGGUAAGGUGAUAUGAACCGUUACAACCGGCGAUACCCGAAUGGGGAAACCCAGUGUGUUUCGACACACUAUCAUGUCAUGAAUACAUAGUGGCAUGAGGCGAACCGGGGGAACUGAAACAUCUAAGUACCCCGAGGAAAAGAAAUCAACCGAGAUUCCCCCAGUAGCGGCGAGCGAACGGGGAGGAGCCCAGAACCUGAAUCGGCUUGUGUGUUAGUGGAAGCGUCUGGAAAGUCGCGCAGCAAAGGGUGAUAGCCCCGUACACUAAAAUGCACAGGUCGUGAGUUCGAUGAGUAGGGCGGGACACGUGACAUCCUGUCUGAAUAUGGGGGGACCAUCCUCCAAGGCUAAAUACUCCUGACUGACCGAUAGUGAACCAGUACCGUGAGGGAAAGGCGAAAAGAACCCCGGCGAGGGGAGUGAAAUAGAACCUGAAACCGUGUACGUACAAGCAGUGGGAGCACCUUCGUGGUGUGACUGCGUACCUUUUGUAUAAUGGGUCAGCGACUUAUAUUUUGUAGCAAGGUUAACCGUAUAGGGGAGCCGUAGGGAAACCGAGUCUUAACUGGGCGAAUAGUUGCAAGGUAUAGACCCGAAACCCGGUGAUCUAGCCAUGGGCAGGUUGAAGGUUGGGUAACACUAACUGGAGGACCGAACCGACUAAUGUUGAAAAAUUAGCGGAUGACUUGUGGCUGGGGGUGAAAGGCCAAUCAAACCGGGAGAUAGCUGGUUCUCCCCGAAAGCUAUUUAGGUAGCGCCUCGUGAACUCAUCUUCGGGGGUAGAGCACUGUUUCGGCUAGGGGGCCAUCCCGGCUUACCAAACCGAUGCAAACUCCGAAUACCGAAGAAUGUUAUCACGGGAGACACACGGCGGGUGCUAACGUCCGUCGUGAAGAGGGAAACAACCCAGACCGCCAGCUAAGGUCCCAAAGUCAUGGUUAAGUGGGAAACGAUGUGGGAAGGCA
This 1043-nucleotide ribosomal RNA is filed under the name Serratia marcescens. RNAcentral's name for it is "partial 23S ribosomal RNA". It matches the Rfam family "Bacterial large subunit ribosomal RNA", at positions 1 to 1085 of the family's 2925-position model. The record is from RNAcentral. Lineage: Bacteria; Pseudomonadati; Pseudomonadota; Gammaproteobacteria; Enterobacterales; Yersiniaceae.